AAAACUUUUGGAUUUGAUUAGACAAACCAAGUUCAAUUUUAGUAACUAUUUUUCUGACAAGGACCCUGAACAGGAACAGGUGGAGCAAAACGGGGCUCAGGGAGGUGAGCAGGCACUCGACACUUCAGAGGAUGCCUGUUAUGGAGUUGCGUGACGGUCAGAUAAAUUGUGAAAUAAGGCCUACAGAGGAAGAAUUGGGACAAGAGGUACGAAAGGAGUUUCAGAUGCAAGAUUUAAUAGAGGAGGCGGUAAAUAAAGCAUUUCAGCGAAUGUCAACAAUUGAUAGCAUGGGCACAGAACAUGAAGGGCACAGUCUAGGGGCAGCUGACAGUCUAAGAGGGAGAGAUGAGCAGAGGAAGCCACAUACGGAUAGCAAUGAGGAAGAUAUGAUACAAAUGGAAAGGAAAGCUUAAAAUAUAAGAGGUUGAUAUAUUUACAAUUUACGAUGUCUUGAAAUGAACAUUUUAAAGGUAAGAAGAUCAAUUAGUACAUUUUCAGUGCUGUAAACCCCCGCCCAACAUUGAGCUCCAGAAGGUGGAUCACACAGAGCAGCCGUUCACUUAGAGGCAGGAGAGAGAAGAAAAAGAAGACACAGAGAGACUGAGUGCGCACAGGGCCGGUCACAGCAGAGGCAGGGCCCAGGAGUCUAGAAGCAGUUUUUACCUUAAAGACAUCUACCAAUUACUACACUAGAAUGGUAUUGUAAUCUGCAUUUAGAGUGACUGAUUCAGGAGCUUAUAUUUGAAAAUGUUAGACCACACAAGCUAGGUUUGUCAAACUGUAGCAAAGUGAAUAUAAAUUAGACACUGAUCACUGAGGAUACUCUAAGGUGGAUUAAAUGGAUCUUUACUCAGUCAACUGUUCAGAAUAGAGUGGGUUACAUCAAAUAGAUAAAUUAGGACGGUUGAGUUCAGUGGAUAAAAGAGAGGCAGACAGCAGUAGAUGAAAUGGAGGGUGAGUUGGAUAGAGAAGGGGAGAAAUGGGCAAAGAAGAUCGAUGUGCGGGUUCAGUAAGAAUUAGAGAAAGGAAGUCAAUGCAGCAAUACUAGGGAGGCCGGGAUCCCACUAUUUGUUUAGUUAUGGAGGUAGUUUUUGAGAAAUUUCCAGCAGCAGUGAUAGAUAUUUUGAUUGAGGGCAGCAACUGUACUUUUAUGGUUAAUACGGGGGCCAGAUACAGCCCCAUGAAUCUUUAUGUGCCCACCUG
Molecule: long non-coding RNA, 1203 nt
Organism: Cyprinodon tularosa
Lineage: Eukaryota; Metazoa; Chordata; Actinopteri; Cyprinodontiformes; Cyprinodontidae
Exons: 2
Source: RefSeq, a predicted model, not a curated record